Molecule: ribosomal RNA, 253 nt
Filed under: uncultured bacterium
Lineage: Bacteria
Description: partial 16S ribosomal RNA
Rfam family: Bacterial small subunit ribosomal RNA
Source: RNAcentral
UACAGAGGUCGCAAGCGUUGUUCGGAUUCAUUGGGCGUAAAGGGUGCGUAGGCGGCCGGGCAAGUCGGGUGUGAAAUCUCGGGGCUUAACUCCGAAACUGCAUUCGAUACUGCUGUGCUUGAGGACUGGAGAGGAGACUGGAAUUUACGGUGUAGCGGUGAAAUGCGUAGAUAUCGGAAGGAAGACCAGUGGCGAAGGCGGGUCUCUGGACAGUUCCUGACGCUGAGGCACGAAGGUCAGGGGAGCAAACGGG